AGCAGCAGCCGCGGGAACACGAAGGGUGCAAGCGUUAAUCGGAAUUACUGGGCGUAAAGCGUGCGUAGGCGGUUUGUUAAGUCUGUUGUGAAAUCCCCGGGCUCAACCUGGGAAUGGCAAUGGAUACUGGCAAGCUAGAGUGUGUCAGAGGAUGGUGGAAUUCCCGGUGUAGCGGUGAAAUGCGUAGAGAUCGGGAGGAACAUCAGUGGCGAAGGCGGCCAUCUGGGACAACACUGACGCUGAGGCACGAAAGCGUGGGGAGCAAACAGGAUUAGAUACCCCAUAGUCCCUGUCUCUUAUACA
This 303-nucleotide ribosomal RNA is filed under the name uncultured bacterium. RNAcentral describes it as "partial 16S ribosomal RNA". It matches the Rfam family "Bacterial small subunit ribosomal RNA", at positions 507 to 808 of the family's 1533-position model. The record is from RNAcentral.